UUCCGGUUGAUCCUGCCGGACCCUCCUGCUAUCGGGGGAGGACUAAAACAUGCAAGUCGUGCGUCUCCAAGCCAUGGUGGAGACGCGGCAUACGGCUCAGUAACACGUGGCUAACCCACCCUUGAGACGGGGACAACCCCGGGAAACUGGGGCUAAUCCCCGAUAGGAGAAGACACCUGGAAUGGGUCUCCUCCCAAAGGGCGCCUAGACUAUGCUUCUAGGCGUUGCUCAAGGACGGGGCCGCGGCCGAUCAGGUUGUUGGUGAGGCAACGGCUCACCAAGCCUAUAACCGGUACGGGCCGUGAGAGCGGGAGCCCGGAGAUGGGCACUGAGACAAGGGCCCAGGCCCUACGGGGCGCAGCAGUUGCGAAAACUCCGCAAUGCACGAAAGUGUGACGGGGCUACCCCGAGUGCCGUCCGCUGAGGGCGGCUUUUCCCCGGUGUAAGGAGCCGGGGGAAUAAGGAGAGGGCAAGUCUGGUGUCAGCCGCCGCGGUAAUACCAGCUCUCCGAGUGGUAGGGAUGAUUAUUGGGCUUAAAGCGUCCGUAGCCGGCCUGGCAAGUCUUCCGUUAAAUCCAACGAUUCAAUCGUUGGACUGCGGGAGAUACUGUUGGGCUAGGGGGCGGAAGAGGCCGACGGUAUUCUCGGGGUAGGGGUAAAAUCCUAUAAUCCCGGGAAGACCACCAGUGGCGAAGGCGGUCGGCUAGAACGCGCUCGACGGUGAGGGACGAAAGCUGGGGGAGCGAACCGGAUUAGAUACCCGGGUAGUCCCAGCUGUAAACGAUGCGGGCUAGGUGUUGGAGCGGCUACGGGCCGCUUCAGUGCCGCAGGGAAACCAUUAAGCCCGCCGCCUGGGGAGUACGGCCGCAAGGCUGAAACUUAAAGGAAUUGGCGGGGGAGCACCACAAGGGGUGAAGCUUGCGGUUUAAUUGGAGUCAACGCCGG
RNAcentral lists this ribosomal RNA (944 nucleotides) under uncultured archaeon. RNAcentral's name for it is "bacterial SSU rRNA". It matches the Rfam family "Archaeal small subunit ribosomal RNA", at positions 1 to 921 of the family's 1478-position model. The record is from RNAcentral.